RNAcentral lists this ribosomal RNA (880 nucleotides) under Enterobacter cloacae. RNAcentral's name for it is "bacterial SSU rRNA". It matches the Rfam family "Bacterial small subunit ribosomal RNA", at positions 543 to 1428 of the family's 1533-position model. The record is from RNAcentral. Lineage: Bacteria; Pseudomonadati; Pseudomonadota; Gammaproteobacteria; Enterobacterales; Enterobacteriaceae.
GUAUCGGAUUACUGGGCGUAAGCGCACGCAGGCGGUCUGUCAGUCGGAUGUGAAUCCCCGGGCUCAACCUGGGAACUGCAUUCGAAACUGGCAGGCUAGAGUCUUGUAGAGGGGGGUAGAAUUCCAGGUGUAGCGGUGAAAUGCGUAGAGAUCUGGAGGAAUACCGGUGGCGAAGGCGGCCCCCUGGACAAGACUGACGCUCAGGUGCGAAAGCGUGGGGAGCCAACAGGAUUAGAUACCCUGGUAGUCCACGCCGUAAACGAUGUCGACUUGGAGGUUGUGCCCUUGAGGCGUGGCUUCCGGAGCUAACGCGUUAAGUCGACCGCCUGGGGAGUACGGCCGCAAGGUUAAAACUCAAAUGAAUUGACGGGGGCCCGCACAAGCGGUGGAGCAUGUGGUUUAAUUCGAUGCAACGCGAAGAACCUUACCUACUCUUGACAUCCAGAGAACUUUCCAGAGAUGGAUUGGUGCCUUCGGGAACUCUGAGACAGGUGCUGCAUGGCUGUCGUCAGCUCGUGUUGUGAAAUGUUGGGUUAAGUCCCGCAACGAGCGCAACCCUUAUCCUUUGUUGCCAGCGGUCCGGCCGGGAACUCAAAGGAGACUGCCAGUGAUAAACUGGAGGAAGGUGGGGAUGACGUCAAGUCAUCAUGGCCCUUACGAGUAGGGCUACACACGUGCUACAAUGGCGCAUACAAAGAGAAGCGACCUCGCGAGAGCAAGCGGACCUCAUAAAGUGCGUCGUAGUCCGGAUUGGAGUCUGCAACUCGACUCCAUGAACUCGGAAUCGCUCUUAUCGCAGAUCACAAUGCUACUGUGAAUACGUUCCCGGGUCUUGUACACACCGGCGCCGUAUUCACGAGAACUCUCGCCCAUCUCCGAG